UGGAAGGAAUACUGGAGACAGGUGCUGCAUGGCUGUCGUCAGCUCGUGUCGUGAGAUGUUGGGUUAAGGUCCCGCAACGAGCGCAACCCUUGCCUUUAGUUGCCAGCAGUUCGGCUGGGCACUCUAAAGGGACUGCCGGUGUUAAACCGGAGGAAGGUGGGGAUGACGUCAAGUCCUCAUGGCCUUUAUGACCAGGGCUACACACGUACUACAAUGGCCGAUACAAAGGGCAGCGACACUGCGAGGUGAAGCCAAUCCCGUAAAAUCGGUCUCAGUCCGGAUUGGAGUCUGCAACUCGACUCCAUGAAGUUGGAAUCGCUAGUAAUCGUGGAUCAGCAUGCCACGGUGAAUACGUUCCCGGGCCUU
Molecule: ribosomal RNA, 366 nt
Filed under: uncultured Desulfobulbus sp.
Lineage: Bacteria; Pseudomonadati; Thermodesulfobacteriota; Desulfobulbia; Desulfobulbales; Desulfobulbaceae
Description: bacterial SSU rRNA
Rfam family: Bacterial small subunit ribosomal RNA
Source: RNAcentral